This 256-nucleotide ribosomal RNA is filed under the name uncultured bacterium. RNAcentral describes it as "partial 16S ribosomal RNA". It matches the Rfam family "Bacterial small subunit ribosomal RNA", at positions 524 to 776 of the family's 1533-position model. The record is from RNAcentral.
UACGAAGGGGGCUAGCGUUGUUCGGAAUUACUGGGCGUAAAGGGCGCGUAGGCGGUGUGUCAAGUCAGGCGUGAAAGCCCCGGGCUCAACCUGGGAACCGCGCUUGAGACUGGCACGCUCGAGUUCGGGAGAGGAUGGUGGAAUUCCCAGUGUAGAGGUGAAAUUCGUAGAUAUUGGGGAAGAACACCGAUGGCGAAGGCAGCCAUCUGGACCGACACUGACGCUGAGGCGCGAAAAGCGUGGGGGAGCAAACAGG